UACCAGCUCUCCGAGUGGUAGGGAUGAUUAUUGGGCUUAAAGCGUCCGUAGCCGGCUUAGCAAGUUUCCUGUUAAACUCAGCGACUCAAUCGUUGGAUCGCGGGAAAUACUACUAGGCUAGGAGGCGGGAGAGGUCAACGGUACUUCUGGGGUAGGGGUGAAAUCCUAUAAUCCCGGGAGGACCACCAGUGGCGAAGGCUGUUGACUAGAACGCGCUCGACGGUGAGGGACGAAAGCUGGGGGAGCAAACCGGAUUAGAUACCCGGGUAGUCCCAGCCGUAAACGAUGCGAGCUAGGUGUUGGAAUGGCUACGGGCCAUUUCAGUGCCGCAGGGAAGCCAUUAAGCUCGCCGCCUGGGGAGUACGGCCGCAAGGCUGAAACUUAAAGGAAUUGGGCGGGGGAGCGACCACAAGGCGUAAAGCUUGCGGUUC
Molecule: ribosomal RNA, 431 nt
Filed under: uncultured archaeon
Lineage: Archaea
Description: bacterial SSU rRNA
Rfam family: Archaeal small subunit ribosomal RNA
Source: RNAcentral